Molecule: RNA transcript, 3535 nt
Organism: Musa acuminata subsp. malaccensis (wild Malaysian banana)
Lineage: Eukaryota; Viridiplantae; Streptophyta; Magnoliopsida; Zingiberales; Musaceae
Gene name: ATP-dependent DNA helicase homolog RECG, chloroplastic
Source: RefSeq, a predicted model, not a curated record
CCCGAUCUAAUCAUGGGUCCUCACAGAAGCUGUUGGAAGAAGUUGGUGACUAUAGCACAGCAAGCACAUCAGAACGGUCUAAAUUUCUAAAUAAGAUUUGAUGGUGCUUCAUCAAUGUCAAACCCCAGUCACCAAUUUUUAUAGCAGACACCAAGGUUUCAAAUCUUGAUUUAGUACGACGCUGGUUCUUGAGCGAAUCAAUUCAAUGUCGCUAUUGUGGAGCAUAUUGUGUGUUAGUGUGCCCAGGUUUUAUCGGAGGAGGAGAAGACGGAGGAAGAGGAGAUGGCGAAGGAAGAGGAGAAGAAGAGAAGGUAUUGAAACAGAUAAGGUGAUGCAUAUUGAAGAAGGAGACGGCAACAACAGCUACAUGUGAAGAAAAUGAUGGCUGUUAUGUGUGGAUUUAGAUGCAGAAGCAAAGUCGAUGGAGGUGGAGGAAAGAGUGGGGGGGAGAGCAAAUAGCUGUUGAAAUCUUUGUUUACAGAUCUCAGUUUUUAUGGGUUAUAACAACAUACAAGAUCUAGUUGCGCAAGAAAGAGAUCGAAGACAAUCUACAACAGAUGCAAAUGAUGUAUAUGAAGAAUUUGAUUUCUCAUUGACCUGUGGAAGGUUUCCGUGCAUUAAACUGGGUGAUUCCUCACUUGUUGGACUAUAUGAUGAGGUUCCACAUGCAGAAGAACAAGAGAAUCUUUUACCUCCUGAAAGCUGUAACAAAUACCUAUCUACUUCUGGUGCAAACUGGGAAAAAUGUAGUAAAUUGGUUGGCACAUGGUAUUCAGUAAGGCCUCCUCCCACAGAAACAAAUCCUUCAUCACCUAUGGAAGACAAUUCGUUCGUGGUGCAGUUAGAUUCUCGAGAAGCGGAUUCUGAUGUAGAAGGGAAGGUAGAAGAACAAGAGACUAGCAAAAACUUACUUGAAAGUUCAUCUACUGAAUCAGUUUUGGACAGAGCUAUCAGAAGUUUACCAGGGACAACCAGUAGACAAUGUUGUCAGCUUGAAGGUGGUGGCUUCUAUACGGUCCGAAAAUUGUUGCAUCAUUUCCCUCACACGUAUUCUGAUCUACUGAAUCCCUUGGAAACAAUAGAGGAAGGGCGCUAUGUGAUGCUUGUUGGAAUUAUUUUAUCUUCUAGGGGAAUCAGAGCUGGUAAAUCAUUCUCUUUCCUUGAAGUUGUUGUUGGCUGUGAGUUCCAAAAGAAUGAAGAAGAUUCUAAAAUUGAGGAUGAUUACGGCACUGAAGAUAAGAAGAUGAUUUACUUACACUUGAAGAAGUUCUUCCGUGGAACACGCUUUACAUAUCAGCCUUUUCUUAGAAGUAUCGAAUCAAAAUAUACUGAGGGAGAUUGUCUACAUGUUAGUGGUAAAGUUAGAAAGAUGCUUGCAGAAGGCCAUUAUGAAAUGACGGAGUAUGUUAUUGGUAAUCCUGAUGAGGAGGAACGGGAUGUAAAUAGGCAGAAAAUGCCAUAUCCACUCUAUCCUUCUAAAGCUGGCAUAAAACCACAAUUUCUUCGUGACAUAAUAUCAAGAGCCUUGAAGACAUUGACUGUUGACAUGGACCCCAUGCCUGAUGAGAUUCGUAAGGAUUUCAACUUGCUUAACCUUUAUGAUGCCUAUAUGGGUAUCCACCUUCCGAAGAACUUAAAUGAAGCUUAUUUAGCUCGCAGAAGACUAAUAUUUGAUGAAUUUUUUUACCUUCAGUUGGCAAAACUAUUUCAGAUGCUUGAUGCAAUUGGAACACCAAUGGAGAAGGAAAAGUUGCUGGACAAAUAUAAGAACCAUGAAUUAAACACUGUCUGUGUUAAGGAUUGGUCUGAUCUUGCUAAGAGUUUUCUAAAGGCUCUUCCGUAUUCUCUUACUCCUAGUCAGCAAAAUGCAGUUUCAGAGAUUAUUUGGGAUCUCAAGAGGCCUGUUCCGAUGAAUAGACUUCUACAGGGUGAUGUUGGGUGCGGGAAAACUGUUGUUGCAUUUUUGGCUUGUAUGGAAGUUAUAAGCUCAGGAUUUCAGGCUGCUUUUAUGGUUCCAACUGAGCUGCUUGCCAUCCAACAUUAUGAACAUUUGCUUUCUUUGUUGGAGAAUAUUGGAGGGACUGAAUGCACACCUUCUGUUGCCUUAUUAACUCGUUCUACAUCCUCAAAGCAGUCACGAAUGGUUCUCAAGGGUCUUCAGAUGGGAGAAAUAGCAAUGGUGAUUGGAACUCACCGCCUUAUAGCUGAGAAAGUUGAAUUUUCCGCUUUACGUAUCGCAGUCAUUGAUGAGCAGCAUCGCUUUGGUGUCAUCCAAAGAGGAAAAUUUAACAGUAAGUUAUAUUCUGCUUCACCAAGCUUAAGAAUGAACUGGAGAAACUUGGAUGAUUCUCUUGAAGAUAAAGCUUAUAUGGCUCCACAUGUUCUUGCAAUGUCAGCCACUCCAAUCCCAAGAACAUUGGCUUUGGCUUUAUUUGGGGAUAUGUCUCUAACUCAAAUUACAGAUUUGCCUCCUGGUCGGUCACCAGUGCAGACUUUUGCUAUUGAAGAAAAUGAAAUUGGUUUUGAGAAGGUAUUCCAGAUGAUGAGAGAUGAGUUGAUAGCAGGAGGAAAGGUAUAUCUUGUUUAUCCAAUAAUUGUAGAAUCUGAGCAACUGCCACAGCUUCAUGCUGCUACUGCUGAUUUUCAAUCAAUACCAGACAAUUUUAGAGGUUACCAAUGUGGUCUGCUGCAUGGGCGCAUGACCAGUGAUGAAAAAGAUGAUGCACUGAAAAAAUUUAGAACUGGGGAAACCCGUGUACUCCUUGCAACACAACUCAUUGAGAUUGGUGUUGAUGUCCCUGAUGCAUCUAUGAUGGUUGUUAUGAAUGCUGAGAGAUUUGGAAUUGCUCAGUUGCAUCAGUUGAGAGGACGAGUUGGAAGAGGAGAAAGAAAAUCUAAAUGUGUUUUCUUGUCUUCUACUUCUGCGGGUCUCGAUCGAUUGAAAGUACUUGAAAGAUCUUCUGAUGGAUUUUACCUGGCAAAUGCUGACCUUCUACUUCGUGGGCCUGGUGAUUUGCUUGGUAAGAAGCAAUCAGGACAUAUUCCAGAAUUUCCAAUUGCUAGAUUGGAGAUUGAUGGAAAUAUUUUACAGGAAGCUCACCUUGCUGCCUUGAAAGUUUUGGGAACAAGCAACGACCUACAGCUUUUUCCAAAGCUUCGAGCAGAGCUUAGCAUGAGGCAACCUCUGUGCGUUUUGGGUGAUUAAGGUUCUACCAAGGCUGGAGUACUUUCUGAAUUUUGGAUGAUUGAGGUUCUACCAAGGGUGACGUAUGUUUCAUGGGACGCCAAUUGAUCCAUCGGUCCAACUGACGAUUUGGCGAGAUCACUUUCCGUUCCCAUAACUUUGCUGGUUUGUCCAUACAAAAUGAUGAAGGGUGCAUUGAUACAAGCACGUAAUCUUUGGCUAAUCGUUUGCUAUCGGGAUGCCUUUUCUUAACAUUACGGUUGCAUUGUUCCGUGCUUCUGUCUGACAAAAAUUAAAAGGUUUGGUAGGUGUGGAUUACAUUGGAAUAAUGAAAGAGAAGAUUGCCACCUA